UCGGGUUCGCGAGCGUUCGCCGAAGGUCCAUUAAACCCUUCUUAUCAGUGACGUCGGAGUACAAUCGAAUUAUAUAAAACUUUCAACAACGGAUCUCUUGGUUCUGGCAUCGAUGAAGAACGCAGCGAAAUGCGAUAAGUAAUGUGAAUUGCAGAAUUCAGUGAAUCAUCGAAUCUUUGAACGCACAUUGCGCCCCUCGGUAUUCCGGGGGGUAUGCCUGUUCGAGCGUCAUUACACCCCCCAAGCCUCGCUUGGUCCUGGGCCUUCGCCCUCGCGGCGGGCUCGAAAAACAGUGGCGGUCCGAGGCGGCCUCAAGCGUAGUAAACUCUCUCGCUUGGGCGCACGUCUCGUGACCGGCCAAAACCCCACGGAUCGAUCGAUCCCUUCAAGAUUGACCUCGGAUCAGGUAGGGAUACCCGCUGAAC
This 425-nucleotide ribosomal RNA is filed under the name Lecanora intumescens. RNAcentral describes it as "eukaryotic LSU rRNA". The stretch from base 78 to 231 matches the Rfam family "5.8S ribosomal RNA". Lineage: Eukaryota; Fungi; Ascomycota; Lecanoromycetes; Lecanorales; Lecanoraceae. The record is from RNAcentral.